RNAcentral lists this ribosomal RNA (884 nucleotides) under Polypedates leucomystax (Java whipping frog). RNAcentral's name for it is "partial 16S ribosomal RNA". It matches the Rfam family "Bacterial large subunit ribosomal RNA", at positions 1112 to 2598 of the family's 2925-position model. The record is from RNAcentral. Lineage: Eukaryota; Metazoa; Chordata; Amphibia; Anura; Rhacophoridae.
GCAGCCACCUUUUAAAACGCGUCAAAGCGUAACCUAAACCCCCCCAAAAUACCAUUAAUUUUCAUGAACCCCUAAUUUAUAAUGAAUGACUCCAUAUUUAUAUGGAAGACACCAUGCUAGGAUUAGUAACAAGAAUUUAUAAUUCUCCAAAAUGCAAAUAUAAACCAACAUGGAUAGACCAUUGGUAGUUACCGAACCUAAAUUUACUGCAAUAACACCCACAAGAAAACUCUGCAGUACUUACUCGUUAACCUAACACCAGCGCAUUACAGGAAAGAUUAAAAAAAAGAGAAGGAAUUCGGCAAAUGACGGCCCCGCCUGUUUACCAAAAACAUCGCCUCUUGACUUAUAAUAAGAGGUCCAGCCUGCCCAGUGAAUUUUAAACGGCCGCGGUAUCCUAACCGCGCGAAGGUAGCAUAAUCACUUGUUCUUUAAAUGGGGACUCGUAUCAACGGCAUCACGAGGGUUUUACUGUCUCCUCUUUUUGAUCAGUGAAAUUGAUCUUCCCGUGAAGAAGCGGGGAUAUUUUUAUAAGACGAGAAGACCCCAUGGAGCUUUAAACCAAAUAACAACUUAACUACUUAUCCCACAAUAAAUUUAAGCCCUGUUAUAAGGUUUUUGGUUGGGGUGACCGCGGAGUAAAGCACAUCCUCCACGACGGAAAGAACAUAAUCUUUAUUUAAGAACCACACUUCUAGAAAUUAGUAUACUAACGUUUACUGACCCGACAAUCGAUCAACGGACCAAGUUACCCUGGGGAUAACAGCGCAAUCUACUUCAAGAGCUCAUAUCGACAAGUAGGCUUACGACCUCGAUGUUGGAUCAGGGUAUCCCGGUGGUGCAGCCGCUACCGAAGGUUCGUUUGUUCAACGAUUAAAACCCUA